GACGGAGGGUGCAAGCGUUGUUCGGAAUUACUGGGCGUAAAGAGCGCGCAGGCGGUCGUUCAAGUCGCGUGUGAAAGCCCCCGGCUCAACUGGGGAGGGUCACGCGAUACUGAUCGACUCGAAGGCAGGAGAGGGAAGUGGAAUUCCCGGUGUAGUGGUGAAAUGCGUAGAUAUCGGGAGGAACACCAGUGGCGAAGGCGACUUCCUGGCCUGUUCUUGACGCUGAGGCGCGAAAGCUAGGGGAGCAAACGGG
This 253-nucleotide ribosomal RNA is filed under the name uncultured bacterium. RNAcentral describes it as "partial 16S ribosomal RNA". It matches the Rfam family "Bacterial small subunit ribosomal RNA", at positions 524 to 776 of the family's 1533-position model. The record is from RNAcentral.